RNAcentral lists this transfer RNA (73 nucleotides) under Sandaracinus sp. Its description in RNAcentral is "tRNA-Ala". It matches the Rfam family "tRNA". From Rfam's summary of the family: Transfer RNA (tRNA) molecules are approximately 80 nucleotides in length. Their secondary structure includes four short double-helical elements and three loops (D, anti-codon, and T loops). Further hydrogen bonds mediate the characteristic L-shaped molecular structure. tRNAs have two regions of fundamental functional importance: the anti-codon, which is responsible for specific mRNA codon recognition, and the 3' end, to which the tRNAs corresponding amino acid is attached (by aminoacyl-tRNA synthetases). tRNAs cope with the degeneracy of the genetic code in two manners: having more than one tRNA (with a specific anti-codon) for a particular amino acid; and 'wobble' base-pairing, i.e. permitting non-standard base-pairing at the 3rd anti-codon position. The record is from RNAcentral. Lineage: Bacteria; Pseudomonadati; Myxococcota; Polyangiales; Sandaracinaceae. RNAcentral also lists the same sequence under 3 other names.
GGGGUCGUAGCUCAGAUGGGAGAGCGCCUCGAUGGCAUCGAGGAGGUCAGGGGUUCGAUUCCCCUCGGCUCCA